AACGCAUAUUGCGCCCAUUAGUAUUCUAGUGGGCAUGUCUGUUCGAGCGUCAUUUCAACCUUCAGUAUUCUGAUGUUGGACACUGUAGUUUCGAAACUACAGGGCCUAAAUACAGUGGCGAAAGCACCUAUGCCAAGUGAAGUAAACUCUCGCUACGGCUACAGUGACGAUCUGCCCACACCAUCUUUCAGGUUGACCUCGAAUCAGACAGGAAUACCCGCUGAACUUAA
This 230-nucleotide unclassified non-coding RNA is filed under the name uncultured fungus. RNAcentral's name for it is "partial contains 5.8S ribosomal RNA, internal transcribed spacer 2, and large subunit ribosomal RNA". The record is from RNAcentral. Lineage: Eukaryota; Fungi.